UACGUAGGGAGCAAGCGUUGUCCGGAAUCAUUGGGCGUAAAGCGCGCGUAGGUGGCUUCAUAAGUCCGUUGUGAAAGUCAAAGGCUCAACCUUUGAAAGCCGAUGGAUACUGUGAAGCUAGAGUACGGAAGAGGCGAGUGGAAUUCCUGGUGUAGCGGUGGAAUGCGCAGAUAUCAGGAGGAACACCAAUAGCGAAGGCAGCUCGCUGGGACGUUACUGACACUGAGGCGCGAAAGUGCGGGGAGUCAAACAGG
This 254-nucleotide ribosomal RNA is filed under the name uncultured bacterium. RNAcentral describes it as "partial 16S ribosomal RNA". It matches the Rfam family "Bacterial small subunit ribosomal RNA", at positions 524 to 776 of the family's 1533-position model. The record is from RNAcentral.